UGCGCUUAGAUAUUUUAGGGGUACAUGUUGUCUGUGUCGAAUGAGUUAUUAGUAUUAAUUUCUUUUGGUAUUAAAGUUAGAUUGCUUAUUAGAAGUGUGAGAUAGAAGUUAAGUAUUUUGAAUCGAUAGCUUGAAUUCAAUGAGUAAUAUAUUACUGAUCUGAGUUGUUAAAGAUGUCUGAAUAUGUGUGAGAUAUUAAAGUGUAAGUAUCGAAAGCAGCUAAAUUUUUUUUGCAUACCUUUUCAAGAGAACGAAUUCAGAUAUUCUUAGACUCAGCUUUGAUUAUUAAAGCGAUUCACUUUAAAUCUAACGAAUUCGAGUCGUUCACUUGGGACGUUAAAAUGAAGCUCAAAACGCUUCAGUCUUUCAUCGACGAAUGUCACGUCUUUUCUUUUGGAUGGAAUUCUUGCUUCUCUAAAAAUACUAUGCAAAUUGAUCAACUAGUUAAUUUGGGUAUGUCUAGUAAAAAAUAUACGGUCUGGUUUUUUUAGGACUUUUUUAAUUCUCGUCUUAUUUUAUUUAAAUAAAUUUUCGCUCUCGGACGAUUUUUUUUCAAAAAAAAAUUAAAAUUAAAAUCAGUGAUUUAAAUCAAAUAAGUUACUAGUCCUGGUGUUACAAAUAUUGACAAAAUAAUAAUA
This 638-nucleotide long non-coding RNA is filed under the name Ananas comosus (pineapple). RNAcentral describes it as "long non-coding RNA (ACOM_LNC007663)". Lineage: Eukaryota; Viridiplantae; Streptophyta; Magnoliopsida; Poales; Bromeliaceae. The record is from RNAcentral.